RNAcentral lists this ribosomal RNA (427 nucleotides) under uncultured bacterium. RNAcentral's name for it is "partial 16S ribosomal RNA". It matches the Rfam family "Bacterial small subunit ribosomal RNA", at positions 354 to 796 of the family's 1533-position model. The record is from RNAcentral.
GUGAGGAAUCUUCCACAAUGGGCGAAAGCCUGAUGGAGCAACGCCGCGUGAAGGAUGAAGGUCUUCGGAUUGUAAACUUCUUUUAUGAGUGAAGAAUAUGACGGUAACUCAUGAAUAAGCACCGGCUAACUACGUGCCAGCAGCCGCGGUCAUACGUAGGGUGCAAGCAUUAUCCGGAGUGACUGGGCGUAAAGAGUUGCGUAGGCGGUUAUGUAAGCGAAUAGUGAAACCUGGUGGCUCAACCACACAGACUAUUAUUCGAACUGCAUAACUCGAGAAUGGUAGAGGUAACUGGAAUUUCUUGUGUAGGAGUGAAAUCAGUAGAUAUAAGAAGGAACACCAAUGGCGUAGGCAGGUUACUGGGCCAUUUCUGACGCUAAGGCACGAAAGCGUGGGGAGCGAACCGGAUUAGAUACCCGAGUAGUCC